Corapipo altera (White-ruffed manakin) is the source of this 2971-nucleotide long non-coding RNA. RefSeq lists it as uncharacterized. The transcript is spliced from 7 exons. NCBI's taxonomy places the organism in Eukaryota, Metazoa, Chordata, Aves, Passeriformes, Pipridae. The record is from RefSeq and is a predicted model, not a curated record.
AAGGGUCAUCCCAGCGUUUCCAGAUAAAUUUGGAGACAAAUAAAAUGAGGAACUGCGGAGCUCAGCCUUAACCUGAGAAAGAAUAAAUCACAAGAUGUGGAAAAAAAAGAAAGUUCCAUGACUACAGAUUUUCAAACAAUACAAUUUUACUUUAAUAUCAUACCCCACAAGUUCUUCAGUCACAUGAGAACCUGAAGCGUUAAGAACUGAAGCCAGAAAGAGUAUUCUUACUAAGGAAUAUGACAGAAAUGACAGUUUGGCAAUCUUCCAUAUCGGAAGAACAGCCACCAGCAGACCUCUAUUAUUUUGAAGAAAUCCGCAUCUGUCUUGAUGACAGUGUAGGGGAAGUUAUUUCACCAAUGUAGUGGCAUCAGAGGACACUCUCAGCAAGGUUUGUUGUUAACUUUUCAAAAGAAGCUGCACAUUUUGGAAUGUAUUGGUUUCUGGCAAGGAUUUCUAGAAGGAAUCCUUUUCAGGAGUCCUGAAACAGCCGAAGAAAGAUUGUUUCUAUGAUGUUCUGACCCAGGAAAGACCCAGCAGAAAUCUGCUCUGAUGGGAAUCAUGGGCUAAAGCAAUCUGGAUAUAUUUUGAUCUGAGCUCUCAGAAGUAACCAAUCUCUUUGGAGCUUGCAAAGGAAGGUGCAUCCCACAGAGCUAGUGUUAUGUGCACCACUUGUAGACAGAUUACGUUACAUGAAUGAGUUUGAUAGGAGUCACCAUGGUGAGGAAAGGAUAAUGGAAUUUCAGUAAAUGAGAAGUAACCUCUGCAAAGUCCAAUCAGAGGGAAUUUCAGCUCUUUAUAUUGCCUUGUGUCUGCAGUCUUGUACACUGGAGCUGUGCAAGUGAACUAAAUUCAGUACAGAGCAUUAAACGCUGUCUCUUUUGUAAUUAUCAUCAGAGAGCUGUAUGAAGUCUUGAAGCUAUGAAAUCCUGCAAGUCCUGUCGAAAAUGUUUCUUUAUACAGAUCUUAACUGUUAUUCAAAGGAAUUCACCCUAAAAGAUUGAGAACUGCUGGGACAUGAAGAACAUAAAGCUCUAAGACUGUAUGUUGGAGAAAAGUUCCCUCAGAAGCGUGUGUUUAGACACCUUUGGUGACACUUACUGCCUUGCCUGCCAUGCCUGCAAGUGUGGCCUCACUUUCACUGUUAUUGCAACAUGUGUCAAGUGAAAUGAAAACAGAAAUUUGGGAAAGGAUAUAAUUAACCUACUUGUAAACAUUAACCUUAAAUAUCUACCUAAUUAUCUCACUAAUUUAAUCACUGCAUAUCUCAAACUUGUUUGUUAAAUAUUUAAUUCUGCAAAUUGUUUUUGAUACAGAGGUGUGGGGAGCUUUCUGUGAAUGUAAGUUACUCUGCAAAACUCUUUGCAAGAUCAUUGUUAUGUUCGCACUUCAUUGAACAAACCCUGCUGUCAACAAGACUUUUAAUGGAAAUCACAAGAAACUAUGCCCUGAGGCUAAGAGAUAUCGUGCCCUAUUAUUUUAAAAUCUAAUGAACACAUUGUGCAGAAUGUAGACGGGGGUAAAUUUCUUCCUGCGUAUCUUCAGGUUUGAUUCCAUGGGAGUCUAGAGUGGAAAGUUCUGGGUUUCCUUGUUUUUUAGGUUGCAGUGCAGCUGUACAGUUGUUUCUUACCUAUUCACCUUUUUACUACUUGGGGGACUCAGCAAAAUGCUGUCCUUGAUCUUCAGCCCUUUUUAUCAAGUCAGUACCUCGUGCUAAAAGUAAUCUAAAAGGUGUUUAGAUGCUGCAGUUACAAUGCCACUCAAAGUGGCUCUAAUUAUUCCUGAGAGGAAAGUUUUGAAUUGGGAGUGUUUGUUGAGAAGAUGAAAGCUCCAUGUUUGUUCCUUCCUCCCCGAUGGGAAGUGGGCUGUGCUCACACUGCCUCCUGCAAGCACACACGAGGCCCAGCUGAGCACUGCAAGGAGGGCCUUGGGGGUGCCUCCAGCUGCUGGGGCUGGGAGAAGAAACAGCCAGACUGUGGGUGCUGAGGAAAAUCCCAGAUGGAGUGGACAGCUAACCCAGGACAAGCUCUGGAGGCACCUGAAUCCUCUGUUCCGUGAGAAGGUAGGGGCUCUCAGCUGUGCAGUGCCUCCUCUCCCUCUAUCACUCCCCAGGGGCUUCAGCCAGCCCUACAUUUCAGGCUGUACCCACAUGGCAGUUCUGCAAUGCUAUUUUCUUCAUUUUUGUUAUAUAAGUCUCCUUAAUUGAGGAAGGUGAAAGAUUGGGACUAACAUUGUGUUUCUGCGCUGUAGUUCUCACCAUCAGAUGAAGGUGCAAAGCUGUACUAAAUCCAGAUGAUGGCUCACAGCAGACCUCUGACAGGACCCAUGUGAUUAGUUAGAUGUCCAUAUAAAUACCUAUUUGCACUAUAUUACUACCUUAUCAUAUAUUAUUUGGAAUUUCAUCCUGAUUGUCUGUAUUUAUUACAUACAAUUAAUAAAUUUAUUUAUUACAUACAAUUCAUAUAUUUAUUAUACACAAUUCAUACAUUUGUUACACACAAUUCAUUUAUUACAUCCGCAAUUCAUACUGUUUAGUUCAAUAAGAAACAAAUUUCUGUGAAUUUGGCUGAAUAAAGCUGUGUUUGUUCUUGUUAGUUAUCCAAAGUCUCGUUCUUUCUAUGCAUUAUCUCAAUUUCUGGGCAUUUUUCCCCUUCAUUUACUCCAAAAAUUACUUCAAUACUAAUGAAAACUGAACGACAGCCAAGACAGGGUGAACUUUUGGACAAUUUAUGCAAACAUGACAGAUGAGAAUAGAUUUACUAUAAACAUGCCAGGCACAAAAGACUUGACUGCUUUUUAAAUACAGUGAUACUGGAAGAGAUUUAUGGAUAUUUUCAACUGUUCAUUAAAGAGAAAGAUAUUUUGAAACUAUAGGCACUAUCCUUUUAUCCAUUUUUGCCUUCCAGGCUGAGUUGCAAACCUUUGAUGUUUUCUUCACCAAAAAAUAAAAGUAGUUAUGAAUUUAUUUCUC